UUUUUUUAAGAGCCAGAUGAUCAGAUAAUUGUAGUCUGAUUUUUUCAGUCGACAUUAUAUUUCCGACAAAGUUUAUCGUCAUAUCAUUGGCUCUCUUUCAAAAAUCUCAACAAGUCAAAGAAAGAUAAGUUUUAAUUAAAAAUAUAUAUACACAGUGUAUAUAUACAAAAAUGGAAUUAGGAGAAAGAGUUGAGGGCUCAGAAGGAUCCAUUGGUGAUUUUCUAAUCACAAGGGAAUCGAUUCCCUCAUAAAAUAGGUAGUUCUCAACAUCACUGCCUUUAUUUCUCAUUCCCCAUAUCCAAAAAUAAAAAAACCCUAAUUUUCAGAGACGAAGAGGAGAGGAGAGAAGAGUCGAGACCGAGAUGAAACUGAUCCAGUGAUGUGAGGAGCUUG
RNAcentral lists this unclassified non-coding RNA (393 nucleotides) under Hevea brasiliensis (rubber tree). The record is from RNAcentral. Lineage: Eukaryota; Viridiplantae; Streptophyta; Magnoliopsida; Malpighiales; Euphorbiaceae.